Molecule: ribosomal RNA, 250 nt
Filed under: uncultured bacterium
Lineage: Bacteria
Description: partial 16S ribosomal RNA
Rfam family: Bacterial small subunit ribosomal RNA
Source: RNAcentral
UACGAAGGGUGCUAGCGUUGCUCGGAAUCACUGGGCGUAAAGCGUGCGCAGGCGGAUAUGCAAGUCAGGUGUGAAAUCCCCAGGCUUAACCUGGGAACUGCAUUUGAAACUGCUUAUCUGGAGUAUGAGAGAGGAAAGGGGAAUUCCUAGUGUAGAGGUGAAAUUCGUAGAUAUUAGGAGGAACACCAGUGGCGAAGGCGCCUUUCUGGCUCAUUACUGACGCUCAUGCACGAAAGCGUGGGGAGCAAAC